CAAAAGCUUCCCAUUUCCAUGGUCACAACUUAGGACCCCUAUGCCACCCACAAGCCUGCAGAUUCCAAGAUGACCUGGAAGGGACAGAACAGGAAGUCUUGAGCUUUGGCACAAGUUCAGGGGCCUAUUUGGGGAUGUGGACCCUCGCCACUUCAGAAGCGCAAGAAACAAGAGGAGGGAAAAGUAGAAGAGCCUGAGCCUUAAACAACAAAUAUUUCAAAACGAGCACAUUCUCCACAGCUACCAAGUCCAAAGCUACUUUAUAUGUUUCUGAGUUGCCAGAAUGUCUUGUUU
RNAcentral lists this long non-coding RNA (294 nucleotides) under Equus caballus (horse). RNAcentral's name for it is "lncRNA (ENSECAG00000051857.1)". The record is from RNAcentral. Lineage: Eukaryota; Metazoa; Chordata; Mammalia; Perissodactyla; Equidae.